This 77-nucleotide transfer RNA is filed under the name Achromobacter anxifer. RNAcentral's name for it is "tRNA-Met". It matches the Rfam family "tRNA". Rfam says of the family: Transfer RNA (tRNA) molecules are approximately 80 nucleotides in length. Lineage: Bacteria; Pseudomonadati; Pseudomonadota; Betaproteobacteria; Burkholderiales; Alcaligenaceae. The record is from RNAcentral.
GGCGGGGUAGCGCAGUCAGGUAGCGCGCUGGGCUCAUAACCCGGAGGUCGUAGGUUCGAAUCCUAUCCCCGCAACCA